Molecule: ribosomal RNA, 411 nt
Filed under: uncultured bacterium
Lineage: Bacteria
Description: bacterial SSU rRNA
Rfam family: Bacterial small subunit ribosomal RNA
Source: RNAcentral
GGUGAGCGGCGAACGGGUGAGUAACACGUAGGUGAUCUGCCCAUCAGACGGGGACAACGAUUGGAAACGAUCGCUAAUACCGGAUAGGACGAAGUUUAAGGUGCUUCUGGCACCGCUGAUGGAUGAGCCUGCGGCGCAUUAGCUAGUUGGUAGGGUAAAGGCCUACCAAGGCGACGAUGCGUAGCCGACCUGAGAGGGUGAACGGCCACACUGGGACUGAGACACGGCCCAGACUCCUACGGGAGGCAGCAGUAGGGAAUCUUCGGCAAUGGGCGAAAGCCUGACCGAGCAACGCCGCGUGAAUGAUGAAGGCUUCGGGUUGUAAAAUUCUGUUAUAAGGGAAGAACGACUUUAGUAGGAAAUGGCUAGAGUGUGACGGUACCUUAUGAGAAAGCCACGGCUAACUACGUG